GCCCAUUUGGCUCAGUGGAUAGAGCGUUGGCCUGUGGACCAAAGGGUCCCUGGUUCAAUUCCAGUCAAGGGCC
This 73-nucleotide transfer RNA is filed under the name Myotis lucifugus (little brown bat). It matches the Rfam family "tRNA". From Rfam's summary of the family: Transfer RNA (tRNA) molecules are approximately 80 nucleotides in length. The record is from Rfam by way of RNAcentral. Lineage: Eukaryota; Metazoa; Chordata; Mammalia; Chiroptera; Vespertilionidae.